CCAGACUCCUACGGGAGGCAGCAGUGGGGGAUAUUGCACAAUGGGGGAAACCCUGAUGCAGCGACGCCGCGUGUGGGAAGACGGUACUCUGGAUUGUAAACCACUGUCCCCAGGGACGAAGAUGACGGUACCUGGGGAGGAAGCCCCGGCUAACUACGUGCCAGCAGCCGCGGUAAUACGUAGGGGGCAAGCGUUAUCCGGAUUUACUGGGUGUAAAGGGAGCGUAGACGGCAAUGCAAGCCAGAUGUGAAAGCCCGGGGCUCAACCCCGGGACUGCAUUUGGAACUGUGUAGCUGGAGUGUCGGAGAGGCAGGCGGAAUUCCUGGUGUAGCGGUGAAAUGCGUAGAUAUCAGGAGGAACACCGGUGGCGAAGGCGGCCUGCUGGACUGCAACUGACGUUGAGGCCCGAAAGCGUGGGGAGCAAACAGGAUUAGAUACCCCCGUA
This 445-nucleotide ribosomal RNA is filed under the name uncultured bacterium. Its description in RNAcentral is "bacterial SSU rRNA". It matches the Rfam family "Bacterial small subunit ribosomal RNA", at positions 331 to 792 of the family's 1533-position model. The record is from RNAcentral.